RNAcentral lists this long non-coding RNA (286 nucleotides) under Cricetulus griseus (Chinese hamster). RNAcentral's name for it is "lncRNA (ENSCGRG00015037815.1)". The record is from RNAcentral. Lineage: Eukaryota; Metazoa; Chordata; Mammalia; Rodentia; Cricetidae.
CCUUCGAGUUGGAAAAGAGAACAUGUCAGGACUGGAACCUGCAAAUGCCUGGCCAGGCACCACCUGAAGCUGUCACAGGAAGUGUAGGAAAUGAACAGACUGGCACAUGCAUGUCCAGCUGUGCCUCCUCUCCAGGGCGCUCCUUUGUCAUUCAAGCCAUCAGAGAGCAGCAUCCACUCAGACUGCUGGGACCAGGUUCAAGCCUACCCUACAGAACCCACAGUUCUAUGAAGAAACUUAAAGUGAACCCACCACUACUUUUCUAGGCAUCCACUAGGGCCCUGAG